Musa acuminata AAA Group (dessert banana) is the source of this 545-nucleotide long non-coding RNA. RefSeq lists it as uncharacterized. The transcript is spliced from 4 exons. NCBI's taxonomy places the organism in Eukaryota, Viridiplantae, Streptophyta, Magnoliopsida, Zingiberales, Musaceae. The record is from RefSeq and is a predicted model, not a curated record.
UGCAACCAGCAGGAGGGGGAUGAAUGGGGAGGGGCCUCCACUCAUCCUUGGAUGGAGGAGUACGACAUGCACGUCCAAGGAGGGGGUCAAGAAGCCGAGCAAGGUUGUGGCCAUUGGUUGCUGGGUGCAACUGCAUUUAACUACCCAUGUUGUCUUCAAAUGGCGGACUGAGGUUGAUCAGCAAAGAAGGCAAAAGGAGCAUAUGACAACAACAAGGAGGCUCCCGCCAAAUCAGGCGAGAAGCUGACCUCUUAGUUAAUCAUUUUACAUCUGCAUCUACUCCAGUGUUAAAAUGGAAACCAACACCAGAGGCAGCAGAAUGAAUUAUUUUCACAAAAAUGUAUGCAGAUGGUUCAAGUUUUACAGGCCACAAUUCAUCACCAAAUAAGAAGCUUGUGUCCAAGACUUGGUCCCCAGUUUUGCCUCCCACUUGUGCUGCAUUGCCAUCAGGAUCCACUGCACAAGAAAAUGGUAAUGUAGAAGCAUCUGCUAAGUCAAAAAGAGUGAGGGAAUGCUCAGGUAAUUAUGGUUAAAAUUAUGAUUUA